CUUUGCUGACCACUAGCACCUGAAUUUGGACAAGGGCUUUCCUGAAGAGCCAGCAUCUGGUGUUGCAAAAAUUAAAGAGAGACUAUUAAAUGCUUGAUCACCUUCUAAAAGAAAACAGCAGUACAGUCUGCCACAUCUGUAGAAAAAGUAUCAGUAGAAAAGAAUACAGGUACUUCACAUGGGAAUAAUUCCUCUGAGAGAGCUCUUACAAUAUUAGAUACGUG
This 224-nucleotide long non-coding RNA is filed under the name Crocodylus porosus (Australian saltwater crocodile). RNAcentral's name for it is "lncRNA (ENSCPRG00005017148.1)". Lineage: Eukaryota; Metazoa; Chordata; Crocodylia; Crocodylidae. The record is from RNAcentral.